AUGAGUAUCUUUUCUUGGAACUGUCGUGGUGUGGGUAAAGCCGCUGCAGUUCGUGAACUUCAUGAUUUCGCGAGAAAGUUUACCCCUACCCUGCUAUGCAUUGUUGAAACCCAAAUUGAUGGCGCCAGGGUAGAAGCUAUGGCUAGUUCUAUUGGUUAUGAUAAGUCUUACACAGUUGAUAGUAAUGGUAGAAGUGGUGGAAUAGGCCUUUUUUGGAACAAUUCAAUAAAGAUUGGAAUUCUCGGUUUCUCCGUCUAUCAUCUAGAUGUAUCUGUUGAGGAACAUGGGAGAGAUAUAUGGCGGCUAACAUGUGUAUAUGGAGAAGCCGAGACAUACUUGUGCCAUCAAACAUGGAUGGUUCUGAAAAAUAUUAGGACUUUGAGAAGCUUGCCUUGGUUAUGCAUCGGUGAUUUUAAUGAAGUCUUAUGUCCAGAAGAACACGAGGGAGUAGGGCAACACAGCAAUGCCCAAAUACAAGCAUUCCGAGAAACCACGGAUGUUUGCUAG
This 507-nucleotide ribosomal RNA is filed under the name Triticum aestivum (bread wheat). RNAcentral describes it as "partial small subunit ribosomal RNA". The record is from RNAcentral. Lineage: Eukaryota; Viridiplantae; Streptophyta; Magnoliopsida; Poales; Poaceae.